AUACGGAGGUUGCAAGCGUUACUCGGAAUCACUGGGCGUAAAGCGCGCGCAGGCGGUCUUUUAAGUUGGAUGUGAAAGCCUACGGCUCAACCGUAGAACUGCAUCCAAAACUAUUAGACUAGAGUGUGGGAGAGGAAGAUGGAAUUAGUUGUGUAGGGGUAAAAUCCGUAGAGAUAACUAGGAAUACCAAAAGCGAAGGCAAUCUUCUGGAACACUACUGACGCUGAGGCGCGAAAGCGUGGGGAGCAAACAGGAUUAGAAACCCUUGUAGUCC
This 274-nucleotide ribosomal RNA is filed under the name uncultured bacterium. RNAcentral describes it as "partial 16S ribosomal RNA". It matches the Rfam family "Bacterial small subunit ribosomal RNA", at positions 523 to 796 of the family's 1533-position model. The record is from RNAcentral.